This 24-nucleotide non-coding RNA is filed under the name Mus musculus (house mouse). The record is from RNAcentral. Lineage: Eukaryota; Metazoa; Chordata; Mammalia; Rodentia; Muridae.
GACCUUUAAAGGAAGGGAAGCCGU